RNAcentral lists this unclassified non-coding RNA (1550 nucleotides) under Hevea brasiliensis (rubber tree). Lineage: Eukaryota; Viridiplantae; Streptophyta; Magnoliopsida; Malpighiales; Euphorbiaceae. The record is from RNAcentral.
AGCCAAUUCGCAAUGCCAAUUUCUCUUACCUCCCGCCACGUAGCGGUGAUUGGUGCCGGCGCCGCCGGCCUUGUCGCUGCUCGUGAGCUCCGCCGGGAAGGUCAUAAGGUUGUAGUAUUCGAACGAGAAGCCCAAAUUGGCGGCACCUGGGUCUACGAUCCCCAUGCCGAGCCAGAUCCGUUGAGCCUCGAUCAGAAUCGAUCCAUAAUCCACUCAAGCCUCUACAGCUCUCUCCGAACCAACCUCCCAAGAGAAGUGAUGGGUUUCAGAGACUACCCGUUUAUAUCCAAAGCCGACAAAACGAGAGACCCAAGAAGGUUCCCGGGCCACAGAGAGGUGUUGCUGUAUUUGCAAGAUUUUGCGAGAGAAUUUAAGAUUGAGGAAAUGGUCAGGUUUGAGACUGAGGUGGUUCAUGUUGGGUUAGUGGAGGAUAGUAAGAAGUGGAAAGUGAGGUAUAAAAAGAAGAGAGUUGAUAACGAUGCUGAGUUUGGUAUUGGUUUUAAUUUUGAUGAUGAGAUUUAUGAUGCUGUUUUGGUUUGCAAUGGGCAUUAUACUGAACCUCGUGUAGCUGAAAUACCAGGCAUCAGUUCUUGGCCAGGGAAGCAAAUGCAUAGCCACAAUUAUCGAGUUCCUGAACCCUUCCAAGGCCAAGUGGUAAUUUUGAUUGGGAGUUCAUCAAGUGCUGUUGAUAUAUCCAGGGAAAUUUCUGGCGUUGCCAAAGAGGUCCAUGUUGCCUCAAGAUCGGUUGCAAAUGAAAAAUAUGAAGAGCAGCAUGGAUAUGAUAAUAUAUGGCUUCAUUCUAUGAUAGAAAGCGUUCAUGAAGAUGGUUCUGUAGUCUUCCAAAAUGGAAGAAUAGUCCAAGCUGACAUCAUUCUACAUUGCACUGGGUACAAAUAUCACUUCCCCUUUCUUACCAAUGGCAUUGUGACUGUGGAUGACAAUCGUGUGGGACCAUUAUACAAGCAUGUUUUCCCUCCCAUUUUGGCGCCUUGGCUUUCAUUUGUUGGGUUACCAUGGAAGGUUGUCCCUUUCCCAAUGUUUGAAUUUCAAAGCAAGUGGAUUGCUAGUGUUUUAUCAGGUAGGGUUGCACUUCCAUUGCAAGAGGAGAUGAUGAAAGAUAUUGAAGCUUUCUACCUGUCACUUGAAGCUUCAAACAUUCCGAAAAGAUAUACUCAUAACAUGGGUGAUCAUCAGUUUGAUUAUAACAAUUGGCUUGCUGCUCAAUGCGGGUGUGAAGGGAUUGAAGAAUGGAGAAAGCAAAUGUAUUGCGCUACCAGCAACAACAGGCGCCUCCGGCCAGAUACAUAUCGUGAUGAAUGGGAAGAUGAUCACCUGAUCUUGGAAGCCAACGAAGACUUUAUUCAAAAGGAUUUACAAAGAGUUUCAUCUCUCAAUAAAGCAAUUUAAACAGUCAAUGCCAUGAGAAACUCUCAAAAGGAUUUAUAUUGGAUAAGUUGGAGCUACUUGAGAGAUGAAAUACUGUGGAAUGGUGGAAUGCACCUGAGAGAGGGUUAGUCUCAAAACUAAACCCAUAAAUUAUCAGAAUCAGG